UACAGAGGUCCCAAGCGUUGUUCGGAUUCACUGGGCGUAAAGGGUGCGUAGGCGGUCGGGUAAGUCUGAUGUGAAAUCUCACAGCUUAACUGUGAAACUGCAUUGGAUACUAUUCGGCUUGAGAGUUGGAGGGGGGACUGGAAUUCUUGGUGGAGCGGUGAAAUGCGUUGAUAUCAUCAGGAACUCCGGUGGCGAAGGCGGCUCGCUGGACCUUUUCUGACGCUGAGGCGCGAAAGCUAGGGGAGCAAACGGG
RNAcentral lists this ribosomal RNA (253 nucleotides) under uncultured bacterium. RNAcentral's name for it is "partial 16S ribosomal RNA". It matches the Rfam family "Bacterial small subunit ribosomal RNA", at positions 524 to 776 of the family's 1533-position model. The record is from RNAcentral.